AAUGAGUUAAGUCCAUUAAGUUUGAGAGUUAGGCCCAUUAAGGGGACUUAAUAUAAAAACCUUGUCUUAGAGGAAAUUUCCUCACACUUUCAUUUUCAUAAGAUAUUUUUGAGAGAGUUAGAGAGAGAAAGUGGGAGCAAGAGGAAGAAAGGGUUAGAGAGAAGAGGAACUUGAAGAAUCAAGGGGUGAAGAGAGCUAGGAGCAAAAUUGAAGCCUAAGCUAAGGAGAUUAAUCUAACUAAGGUAAGGGAGUUAGAAUUCAUCAUAAUCAUUAUUGCAAUUUUUCAAUUAUUUGUAUGAAAAGGGCUUAAUUGGGUGAAUUGAUUAAUUGUUCAUAAAUGAUGAAAUUCGUGCUCUAAUUAUGAUGACAUGUUUGGAUGUAUGAAGUUAUGGAUAAUUGAAUUGUUGUUAGUUGAAUUACAUGUAUGCUCAAUUGGUGAAUUAUGCUUUGUUGUUGUUGAAUUGUGAUAAGUUUCAUGAUCAAUUGAUGUUGUUGUUGAUACGUCAUGUUGUUGAUGAUAAUUCAUGGCUUGGGUUUGCAUGAUUCAUGAUUUGUGUUGAGAAAUGAGAUGUUGUUGGUGUUUUGGUGAAAAUUGGUGAAUUGGUCCUAAUGUCAGUUGUUUUCAUGUUGAUUGAGUCUUUGUGAGUCUUUUUAGUCAUAUUGACCUAUAAACAUCAUCUGGAAACACAUUUGGACAAUGAGGGAUCAAAAUUUGGGAUUUUGGGUGGAAAAGGGGUUGAAACCCGUAACAUUUUAUGCUGAACUGUGAACGUUCGCUUAGAGGUUCGCUUAAGCGACAUGUAAGCGAACAUUCAUACAUUUUUUUUCUGGGUUCAGGUCGCUUAAGCGACCUGCGAGCGAGCUGGUAAGCGAACUUUCUGGUAGCUACUGGAAAUCGUUCGCUUAAGCGAACAUGUGGUCGCUUAAGGGAACUGGUGAGCGACCAGAAAGCGUACAUUGUUGUUGGCUACUGGAACUCUGGUUCGCUUAACCAGGUGGUCGCUUAAGCGAACAAGCCCAAUUUCAGCCACUUUAAUCUUUUGUUCCGGGUCUUUGGGGGCCAAUCCGAGCUUUGUAAAAUGAUUCUUUCAACAUGUUUAACUACUGUUUAAUCCCCUAAACCUACUGGAACAAUGAUCAGCUUGCCUAAACUUGAAAUUGUUCAUUGAGUCUUAACUUGGAAGUUUUUGGGAAUUCUAGACUUUUUGUCGAAAACAAACUUUUGCAAAUAAUGGAACUUACAAGUUGAACCUACAGCUCAUAUAUACUUAGGUAAGACUUGUAAGAGUAGUCAAACAUCUUAAUCAAGUCAAAAGUGAUAUUUCGGGUGAGAAUGUGAAAGAUUGUGAAAUUGGAUUUUUCGUACGAACUUAAGUCGUUCUUGGAUUAAUGUCUAAUGAUCCGGAGGCCGCUUAAGCUCAUGACUGCAUGAAUGAUUAAGGUUGUUUGAGAAUCUUCAACUUGUCUAGGUUGUUUUGUCUUGGGAUUUAUCAGUGUUGGCCGUUUGCCACUUGAUAUGGUUUUGGAUCGGAAAUGUUUCUUGAGCCAAUUUACUUAUGAGUUAUUGUGAUCAUUCUUGUAUGACUAAGUGAAGUUGUAUAAAUGAAUGCUUGUAUUUUGGAUAUGAUGUUUAUCAUGAGUUGUGUAUGCUAUCUUACUUAGAAUGUAAGGAAUGUUUGAAAUGGUGAAACCAUAUGAGAUAAAUGAUGUUGGGUGACAUUGUUGAUUAUUGAUAAUCAUGUUGAUGUGUGAUGAUGAAUUCUAUGAUUGGUUGCGUAUGGACAUGUUUUCUUGAUAAUGCAAAUGUUGUGGAGAUGAUCAAUAUAAUUGGGAGUUGUCCUAUAUAUUGUGGUGAAAAUUGUGAAUUGUUGUCGCAUUAUCGAGUCUUGUUGCAUGUCCAUGCAUCAUAGUCGAGUUGAGAUUUGAUAAGAUGUUUUUGUUGCAUCUUUGGGCUCCGGCCUAGCAGAGAUCAUUUAGUGAUCUAGUUUGGUGGACUUCGGUCUUGCAGAGAUCCUUAGUGAUCUAGAUUUGUGGGCUCCGGCCUUGCAGAGACCUUUGACGGUCUAGAUAUAGGUGACGACCUUGAAGUGAAAUGGUACCACAUGCAUAUAUGUGUCGGACUAGGUGCACAUCACGACAUGAGUCUUGUUUUGAAUUGUGAUUGGUGAUUGUGUAUGAAUAACUGUGAUUUGGUGAUUGUUCAUGACACAUGCGAUUGGUGAUUAAUUGAUGUGAGAAAUUGGGAUUAUGAUGUAAGUAUUUAUAUGUGAAUAUUAUUGAUCAAGUACAUGAUGUUUAUAUUGAAUUAUUCAUGUUAACUGUUCUUUGGAUUAUGAUGAUGUAAUACUUACCCCAGUGGUUUUAACCGCCUACCUGUCUGUAUGGAUGGGUAGACGUUGUGCAAGAUUAGUUGCUCGGUGAGUUUUUGUGCUUGGUGGAUAUCGGGAGCUUUCUCCGGUAUCGGUGUUACAGAGUCUAGGUGGCUCUGAUCUAGGCGUUGUCAUAGUCUAGGUCUUUUGUUUUGGAUUAUUGUUAUGAGUGGAGAUUUACUCGUAUGUUCGAAUUUGAGAUUCAUCUGUGUUGAUGUAAUAAUUGAUUCAUGACAUGUAUAUUUGGUGUACUCUUCUGGUUUAUAUUCCGCUGCGACUGUUGAAGUUUAUAUGCAUGUUUAUGGUUUUGAAUUUUUGUAUGAUGACGUAGCCUCUAUUUCUUGAAUAAUUGUAUUAUU
RNAcentral lists this long non-coding RNA (2728 nucleotides) under Medicago truncatula (barrel medic). Its description in RNAcentral is "long non-coding RNA (MTRU_LNC005742)". The record is from RNAcentral. Lineage: Eukaryota; Viridiplantae; Streptophyta; Magnoliopsida; Fabales; Fabaceae.